AUUGAACGCUAGCGGCAUGCCUUACACAUGCAAGUCGAACGGUAACAGGUCUUCGGAUGCUGACGAGUGGCGAACGGGUGAGUAAUACAUCGGAACGUGCCCGAUCGUGGGGGAUAACGAGGCGAAAGCUUUUCUAAUACCGCAUACGAUCUACGGAUGAAAGCGGGGGAUCUUCGGACCUCGCGCGGACGGAGCGGCCGAUGGCAGAUUAGGUAGUUGGUGGGAUAAAAGCUUACCAAGCCGACGAUCUGUAGCUGGUCUGAGAGGAUGAUCAGCCACACUGGGACUGAGACACGGCCCAGACUCCUACGGGAGGCAGCAGUGGGGAAUUUUGGACAAUGGGCGAAAGCCUGAUCCAGCCAUGCCGCGUGCAGGAUGAAGGCCUUCGGGUUGUAAACUGCUUUUGUACGGAACGAAAAGCCUCUUUCUAAUAAAGAGGGGUCAUGACGGUACCGUAAGAAUAAGCACCGGCUAACUACGUG
RNAcentral lists this ribosomal RNA (482 nucleotides) under uncultured bacterium. Its description in RNAcentral is "partial 16S ribosomal RNA". It matches the Rfam family "Bacterial small subunit ribosomal RNA", at positions 30 to 507 of the family's 1533-position model. The record is from RNAcentral.